AAAUCUCAAUCCCAAA
Molecule: small RNA, 16 nt
Filed under: Arabidopsis thaliana (thale cress)
Lineage: Eukaryota; Viridiplantae; Streptophyta; Magnoliopsida; Brassicales; Brassicaceae
Description: ATSL109900
Source: RNAcentral